Molecule: ribosomal RNA, 465 nt
Filed under: Vreelandella stevensii
Lineage: Bacteria; Pseudomonadati; Pseudomonadota; Gammaproteobacteria; Oceanospirillales; Halomonadaceae
Description: partial 16S ribosomal RNA
Rfam family: Bacterial small subunit ribosomal RNA
Source: RNAcentral
CCUACGGGAGGCAGCAGUGGGGAAUAUUGGACAAUGGGGGCAACCCUGAUCCAGCCAUGCCGCGUGUGUGAAGAAGGCCCUCGGGUUGUAAAGCACUUUCAGUGAGGAAGAACGCCUGGUGGUUAAUACCCAUCAGGAAAGACAUCACUCACAGAAGAAGCACCGGCUAACUCCGUGCCAGCAGCCGCGGUAACACGGAGGGUGCGAGCGUUAAUCGGAAUUACUGGGCGUAAAGCGCGCGUAGGUGGCUUGAUAAGCCGGUUGUGAAAGCCCCGGGCUCAACCUGGGAACGGCAGCCGGAACUGUCAAGCUAGAGUGCAGGAGAGGACGGUAGAAUUCCCGGUGUAGCGGUGAAAUGCGUAGAGAUCGGGAGGAAUACCAGUGGCGAAGGCGGCCUUCUGGACUGAAACUGACACUGAGGUGCGAAAGCGUGGGUAGCAAACAGGAUUAGAUACCCGUGUAGUC